Molecule: long non-coding RNA, 1204 nt
Filed under: Zea mays
Lineage: Eukaryota; Viridiplantae; Streptophyta; Magnoliopsida; Poales; Poaceae
Description: long non-coding RNA (ZMAY_LNC001007)
Source: RNAcentral
GAAGAGCGAGUGGCUGAGGAUCCUGGUGUCCAGCAGAUAGAAGUUGCUGAGCAAGAGCUCAUUCAAGGCAAGUUGUGCCCUUGAUCACUUCCUUUUUACCCAGUCAUGUUCUUAUUAAUCAUAAUGAUCUGUAGAGGUUAAUUUGAUGGGAUCCAAUAUGUUACCCUAGUUUUGGCUAUCUUUAUACCUUGUUUUACCACUAAAUUUUUGAGUAGUAUAUGUUAUUGCUUUAUGUGGUUUUGGGUAUAGAGAUAUACAUUAAUCAUGUUCACACUUUUGUUAUCAAUUUAUUAUUUAUUGUUCAUGAUAAGAUCAUUAUGUUAAUGGGAACAUGGUGAACCACCCAGGAAAACAGUGCCACCACAAGGGUGGUAUGGGACGCCCUUGGCUGACUAAUUAGGAAAGCUAGUGGAAGACUACCUUACCCGAAAGGGCAAGGGCAAUAGGGGAGUUGCAUGCAGGGAGGUUCUUGGGUUGAUUUUGUUGCGAUGGCGGUCAGACGAGGGAUUCUUGCAAGUGCUCAUCCCAUAAACUGUAGCAGGUUUUCGGAAGCUAGUGGAACUUUGUAAAGGCCUCGUAGUGGAUCCCUAGCCAUUCACCUCGGUAGUGUCUAAGGGCCUUGCAAACCCUGGCAACAUAGGAUACACGACUUGUGGGUACAGGGUACAACCUCUGCAGAGUGUAAAACUGGUAUACUAGUCAUGCUCACGGUCAUGAGCGACUCGAACACUCACAUGAUUAAUAUAUGGAAUUAAAUUCAAUUUGUCAUUUGCAUUGCAUUGGGAUUACUUUAUUAUUACUUCUAUUUAUUAUUACUAAGGUUUGGUAUUUACUUACACUUAGUAACUGCUAAUAAAAUUUUGACCAACUUAUAAAAGCAAUGCUCAGCUUCAACCCUUAUUUUGUUUAUCAGUCUUACACUUCACAUGAACUUCCACCUUUGGUGAGUUCAUGCACAUCAUUCCCCACAACUUGUUGAGCGAUGAACAUGUGUGAGCUCACCCUUGCUAUCUCACACCCCCCAUAGGAGAAGAACAUGUGGUUCAAUAGGAGCCAUACAUCGAGGAGUUCGAUUUGAUCUAGGUGGCGUCUCCCAGUUGACUUUAUGGCGCCAAGGAUGAACUUUAGAUCGUUUUAUAUUAUUAUUUUGUAAGACUUCCGCUAUGUAAUAAGUACUCUGAUUAUAUUGUGACAUUUAUCUCUA